CAGCAGCCACGGUAAUACGAAGGGGGCUAGCGUUGCUCGGAAUGACUGGGCGUAAAGGGCGCGUAGGCGGUUUUGACAGUCAGAUGUGAAAUUCCUGGGCUUAACCUGGGGGCUGCAUUUGAGACGCCAAGACUAGAAUGUGAGAGAGGGUUGUGGAAUUCCCAGUGUAGAGGUGAAAUUCGUAGAUAUUGGGAAGAACACCGGUGGCGAAGGCGGCAACCUGGCUCAUUACUGACGCUGAGGCGCGAAAGCGUGGGGAGCAAACAGGAUUAGAUACCCCCGUAGUCCCUGUCUCUUAUAA
Molecule: ribosomal RNA, 301 nt
Filed under: uncultured bacterium
Lineage: Bacteria
Description: partial 16S ribosomal RNA
Rfam family: Bacterial small subunit ribosomal RNA
Source: RNAcentral